RNAcentral lists this small RNA (67 nucleotides) under Mytilus galloprovincialis (Mediterranean mussel). The record is from RNAcentral. Lineage: Eukaryota; Metazoa; Mollusca; Bivalvia; Mytilida; Mytilidae.
CACAGCACGAGAUGACCAAUAACCCAACUCCUACGUCGUUCGGGUUAUUGGGUCAUCUCGUGCUGUG